UGGGGUAAUGGCCUACCAAGGCUAUGACGCAUACCUGGUCUGAGAGGAUGAUCAGGCACACUGGAACUGAGACACGGUCCAGACUCCUACGGGAGGCAGCAGUGGGGAAUAUUGCACAAUGGAGGAAACUCUGAUGCAGCAACGCCGCGUGGAGGAUGACGCAUUUCGGUGUGUAAACUCCUUUUAUAGGGGAAGAUAAUGACGGUACCCUAUGAAUAAGCACCGGCUAACUCCGUGCCAGCAGCCGCGGUAAUACGGAGGGUGCAAGCGUUACUCGGAAUCACUGGGCGUAAAGGAUGCGUAGGCUGGAAAUCAAGUCGAGAGUGAAAUCCAACGGCUCAACCGUUGAACUGCUCUCGAAACUGGUUACCUAGAAUAUGGGAGAGGUAGAUGGAAUUAGUGGUGUAGGGGUAAAAUCCGUAGAUAUCACUAGGAAUACCGAUUGCGAAGGCGAUCUACUGGAACA
Molecule: ribosomal RNA, 466 nt
Filed under: uncultured bacterium
Lineage: Bacteria
Description: bacterial SSU rRNA
Rfam family: Bacterial small subunit ribosomal RNA
Source: RNAcentral